RNAcentral lists this ribosomal RNA (440 nucleotides) under uncultured bacterium. RNAcentral's name for it is "bacterial SSU rRNA". It matches the Rfam family "Bacterial small subunit ribosomal RNA", at positions 338 to 795 of the family's 1533-position model. The record is from RNAcentral.
CCUACGGGGGGCAGCAGUGGGGAAUAUUGGACAAUGGGCGCAAGCCUGAUCCAGCCAUGCCGCGUGAGUGAUGAAGGCCUUAGGGUUGUAAAGCUCUUUUAUCCGGGACGAUAAUGACGGUACCGGAGGAAUAAGCCCCGGCUAACUUCGUGCCAGCAGCCGCGGUAAUACGAAGGGGGCUAGCGUUGCUCGGAAUCACUGGGCGUAAAGGGCGCGUAGGCGGCGUUUUAAGUCGGGGGUGAAAGCCUGUGGCUCAACCACAGAAUGGCCUUCGAUACUGGGACGCUUGAGUAUGGUAGAGGUUGGUGGAACUGCGAGUGUAGAGGUGAAAUUCGUAGAUAUUCGCAAGAACACCGGUGGCGAAGGCGGCCAACUGGACCAUUACUGACGCUGAGGCGCGAAAGCGUGGGGAGCAAACAGGAUUAGAUACCCCCGUAGUC